GAUAUCAUAGCACAAUAUAUAAUAGCAAAUCUAUUUUUUGUUUUCACUGACAUCAUCAUUUUUAUAAGAAAAUAAAAGUAAAAUCGUAUGGUUAAUACUGUUGCGGUUAUAUAGUCUGAUGAACACAAUUUUAGUAUCACUUAGACGUCUGAUGUGAUCAAAAAUCGUUUCCUUUUUCUUAAAUCGUCACUUCCGAAAACACAACCUUUCGAAAUAGAAUCUUUUAUUUUAUAUAUCGUUUCUUUAUCCAAAACAUCUUCAUUCUUCUUAUUUCCAUUCAGUUUUAUGGAUUUUUGGAUUUUUUUCACUAUAGAAUAAACCCUUAUCUGAUUUCAUCACCACUAAACUUAAUUGAGUACUUGUUUCUAAGCCGCUGAUCUCAAUGUCAACUUUCCAGUGCUCUUGAUUUCCAUCUCUUCUUUAUCUUCAUCUCUUCCUCUUUGAUGAUUUCCACUCUCUUUUUCUGUCUCCCCAACACAAUGAUUAAUUAAUCUACUUUUUGUGUGGAGUUAUCAUCCAGAGAUGCCGUUAGAUAGAGAUGCCAUUAACUGAUUGCCAGAUUGUAGCUAUGCUUUGUAAAAUGAGAGUAAAUAGAUUGUAGAUUUUCUGUCCGUUUCUUAUUACUCUAAUAAUUGCACAAACACACAGUGGUUCAAAUGUCCAUUUCGUUUCCAGUUUUAGUCGGACAAAAAGAGGAGAUACAUUGAGCGAUGCGUUUACAUCUAACCGAACAGUUACGGUAUAUCGAUCGCCUUUGGGAAUAGAUUCAAUCGGUUAAGUUCCUUUUUCUUUUUCGAUAAUGUAUUAUCGACACAUGUGAGAAAAUCGGUGAGAGUGAUAUUCAAAUAGGUAGGAGAAUUUUGUCCUGGUGUAGUGACUACCUUCUCAAAUUUUCGGUAAGUCGUUUGUUUUAUCAUCAAAAUUUGACCAGUUUGUAUGAUUAUAACCUUAUAGGCAUGGGAGAUUUUUUGUAUUCAUCUGUAAUCAACAUAAUAAAAAGGCUAGGUUCUCUCCAGCAGGUGACACAUCAGCAUUUUUAAGCUCUGUGGAGAGGACAUGUCAUUAAAUGAAAAAACUCAGCUAACCAAUCAAAACAUUUGUAUCUCCACAAUCGGAAAUCAACACAAUCAGAUCGGGAGAAGUUCUCUCUCUUCCUCUUUCGAUUUAAUCACUGUCUCUCUUUCUCUUUUGCUUUGAAAUCGAACGAGGAUGGAGAAGAAGACAGCGAAGAAUACAGGUGCUGAAGAACUUCAGACCCAAUCACCACGCUCUUCUCCACCUUCUCUUCACCACUCUCCUACGGAUUCUCUUCACCACUCUCUUCUCCGGCUUCUCUUCACCACUCUCUUCUCUGGCUUCUCUUCUCCAUUUAGCUGCCGUCAAUGUCAACUUAGAGAGAUAGAGCUCAGCCAUGUUUCUCCUCCUUCCCUGUUGAUCUCUCUUCCUCCAUGUCACCUCUAUAUUGUAUUAGCGUGGAGAUUCAUUAGCAUCACCAGCCACCUCUCCUCAUCUCACCGGAGCUAUUGUCUCUCCCCGGGGAAGCCAUUUUUGUUGUGAUCCUUAUCAUUGUGGGAUCGUGACCAAAAUGAAAUGAGAAUUGAAACCGGAGCCGUCACGUUCCAUCAGGACCAGCCACCAAUCCGAGCCCCAUUAACCAUCCAUCACGGGAGAGCCGCCGUCGUGAUGUCACCACCUUUGCUUAUGGGUUUUGGUUAUGUCUUUGAGAUUUUAAUAAAAUUGUUAUCAGAUUAAGAGGGAGAUUUCGACCAUGAAACUCGUUCGUCAUCCUUGUGUUGUUCGUCUUUACGAGGUAAAGUUUUGUUCUUUCCUCUACUUUAUACUGAAAAGAUUAUAUCUAUCUUCAUAUAGAAGUUGAUUCAUUGCUGUUUAGGUUUCUAGCAGGUCGCACAAAUAUUUACAUUCUCUUGGAGUAUAAUACAUGUGGUGAACUGUUUAUAGAAUUGUGAAUUAUCUAGCUCUCGACUCAACUAUUUCAGGUGAUGAUAAUCUUUGGAAGACAUUGGUUAUCCACUUGUUACAUGUUAUAGGUUCGUAAUGAACAUAUUAGUGAAGCAAAAACUAGGAAGUACUUACACUAGCUUACCAAAGGAGUUGAUAGUAAAGGGGUCUACCACAGAGAUCUAAAGGUGGUUUCUCUUGCUGACAAUCAACAAUCUUUUCAAACAAAAUCUGGUUUUGGUUAUUUUUGUAGCCUGGAAAACUUCUGCUAGAUUCUCAAGGAAAUCUCAAGAUAUCUGAUUAUGGGCUCAGUGCAUUACCAGAACGAGUAAUGGUGGUUUCAGUUUAUUGUUUUACUUUCAUAUUGAAUUUUUAUCAACUAAUCAUCUUACUUGUAUCUUAAGGGAGUUACCAUUUUAAAGACAACUUGUGGAACUCCAAAUUAUGUUGCCUUUUAAGUAUUGAGUCAUAAGGGUUACAAUGGUGUCGUGGCAGAUGUAUGGUCAUGUGGGGUCAUCCUUUAUGUUCUGAGUCAUAACUCAUAAGAAUUACAACUGAGCCUUGUGAUGAGAACGACUCAUGUUCCAUUAUCUUAUACUAGAUUCUUUCUCUGCGCUACGCGCGGAUAAUAUAUUUAAAUUUGUUAUAUUUAUCAUUUUUAUUUGUAUGUGAAUUUUUAUAUUAAAUUAUAUAUAACUAAUUUUUAAAUUUCA
Long non-coding RNA from Brassica rapa (field mustard), 2672 nucleotides. RefSeq lists it as uncharacterized. Lineage: Eukaryota; Viridiplantae; Streptophyta; Magnoliopsida; Brassicales; Brassicaceae. The record is from RefSeq and is a predicted model, not a curated record.